GGGCUCACUUCGCAACACAUGUACUAAAACUAAAUAAUACAGAGAUUAGUAUGGCCCCCAGAUGACAGGCAUUUCGUGAAGUGGUCCAUACUUUU
Small nuclear RNA from Capra hircus (goat), 95 nucleotides. The record is from Ensembl. NCBI's taxonomy places the organism in Eukaryota, Metazoa, Chordata, Mammalia, Artiodactyla, Bovidae.